AUUAAUUGGUAAAUGAUAAGAAUUACCAUCUAGUGAUUAAAUACUACAUUUAAUUGCUAUGUACAAAAAUGCCCUUGAAAUUAUAUGUGAAAUUACCAAAAUACCCUUUUAGUGUAUUAUUAGUUAUAUUAUUUAUGGAAUUUUAAAAUCUAAAGUGAUAAACCCUAAGGGUUGUGGCCAAUGUCUAAAAUGCCCUUCAUGGUAGACAUGAGAAGUCUAAACUACCCUUGUGCAUUAUUAAAGGAAG
Molecule: long non-coding RNA, 247 nt
Filed under: Panax ginseng (ginseng)
Lineage: Eukaryota; Viridiplantae; Streptophyta; Magnoliopsida; Apiales; Araliaceae
Description: long non-coding RNA (PGIN_LNC005239)
Source: RNAcentral